ACAUAAUAUUUUUUACAUGCUUUAUGGUCCGUUUCACACCGCCGGAGUCGGGGAUGCAGCUGAAAGAAGGCUCAAAUACUCAUACACGCUACAGUAUUUCAUUACCAAAGGGCAUAAUAAAGUGUAAUGGUUUCAUCCAUUAUAUUCUCAAAGUUUUGUAUAAUAUCACUGCCCUAUCUAGACAACUAUAUCUGACUUUUGAGUAUUCCGUUACAUUAAUAAGUCUGUUCAUUUAUGCAUUCACAAAUUUUUUGCUAAUUGUCCUUCCUGCAUUUGGCAGCUUCAACCGUGCUAUUUUUAUUCUGGAUUAUAUGUUUAACUUCUAUUUGUCUAAUAUUAUAGUUUGCUCCUCUUCUGUAAAAUGUGACGCUCUGCUGACAGUAGACUUGUCCAUGUUUGCAAUUGCGCUCAUAGCCAGAUUGAGAAACCCUGGGUUGAUUUACCGAGUUGAUAACCACCGUCAUAGGACCGCUUAGCGAGAUCAUGGUUGUUAGGGUUAGUUAAGCCAGAUAACGAGAAGAUACCCUGGGUAUGUUGAAUUUGCUUCUCAGUACAGACCUCUGCUGUGGUGCUUGUGUGUGAUAUGCUGCAGAUGAGCUUGGCUGAUUGGCUGAGUGGAUGAUUGCUCCGGGAAGCUGAUUGGUUCCAGCCUCCAAGCUUGAGGUUUAAAGGGCCGGCUUCCCUCAGGCCAUGUGGGCUUACUUCUCUCCAAUUCCAGCCAGACUGCUUACUUUAAAAUGACAAAGUGUAUAUAUAUGUAUAUAUAUAUAUAUACACACAGUAUACUGUAUAGUGUAUGUUUAUAUAUACAGUAUACUGUAUAUAUAUAGGGUGACUUAUUUACCAUAUUAUGUAACUCUAACAUUUGUUGCAGCUAAUUGUGGCUAAUCCAAUGUUAGAAAACAAACACUCAUGUAAAGCUAAACUAUACAGCUCUAUCCAUAGAUGUAACAUUACAAAACGGGAACUUAAGAUAUUGUAACAUGUCAGUAACACUUGUUGUUAAUUUUGUUUGACUGUGUGUCAUCUUUUCUUUAACCCCCCUCAUGGAGGUAGAGGAGGGAGGGGGUUGAAGCCCUCUCAUUCAGCAACUCAAUUUCUAUUACUGAAUAAAUCUUACACACGCAAAAUCAAAGUUCCCUCCUCACUAAUUUCAGAGUUCCUUACUUUGCACGAAACAGA
Sebastes umbrosus (honeycomb rockfish) is the source of this 1182-nucleotide long non-coding RNA. RefSeq lists it as uncharacterized. The transcript has 2 exons. The record is from RefSeq and is a predicted model, not a curated record. Lineage: Eukaryota; Metazoa; Chordata; Actinopteri; Perciformes; Sebastidae.